GUAUCGGUGGUUCAGUGGUAGAAUGCUCGCCUGCUACGCGGGCGGCCUGGGUUCGAUUCCCGGCCGAUGCC
This 71-nucleotide transfer RNA is filed under the name Cordylochernes scorpioides. Its description in RNAcentral is "tRNA-Ser". It matches the Rfam family "tRNA". Rfam says of the family: Transfer RNA (tRNA) molecules are approximately 80 nucleotides in length. Lineage: Eukaryota; Metazoa; Arthropoda; Arachnida; Pseudoscorpiones; Chernetidae. The record is from RNAcentral.